CCCGCCGUGGUGUAGCGGCUUAACACGUUUGACCCGGCUUGUCAGAAGAAGACGUGGGUUCGAAUCCCGCCGGCGGUG
Molecule: non-coding RNA, 78 nt
Organism: Phthorimaea operculella (potato tuberworm)
Lineage: Eukaryota; Metazoa; Arthropoda; Insecta; Lepidoptera; Gelechiidae
Source: the annotation of a GenBank genome assembly